GACGCCGUGGCGGGGGACGAGGCCGUAGGUCGGCUUCAGACCGACCACUCCGUUCAGCGCGGCCGGCACCC
RNAcentral lists this transfer RNA (71 nucleotides) under Streptomyces rubradiris. RNAcentral describes it as "tRNA-Sec". Lineage: Bacteria; Bacillati; Actinomycetota; Actinomycetes; Kitasatosporales; Streptomycetaceae. The record is from RNAcentral.